RNAcentral lists this unclassified non-coding RNA (206 nucleotides) under Astragalus utahensis. Lineage: Eukaryota; Viridiplantae; Streptophyta; Magnoliopsida; Fabales; Fabaceae. The record is from RNAcentral.
AUCGUUGCCCAAUCCCUAUUGCAGUGCAAUAGGAAUUUCUAGGGCAAUGAUGGCUUCCCAUGAGCUUGUUGCCUCGCGGUUGGUUGAAAAUCGAGUCCUUGGUGGGGUGUGCCAUGAUAGAUGGUGGUCGAGUUAGCACGAUACCGAUCGUGUGCAUGCUCCCCAAAAUAUGGCCUCUAUGACCCACAUGCGUCUUUUGACGCACA